CUGCCGGCGACCGGCGCACGGGUGAGUAACACGUAUGCAACCUGCCCUCCGCAGGGGGAUAACCCGGAGAAAUCCGGACUAAUACCGCGUGGUACAUCUGUGGGGCAUCCCACGGGUGUUAAAAGGAAGCGAUUCCGGCGGAGGAUGGGCAUGCGGCGCAUUAGCUAGUUGGCGGGGUAACGGCCCACCAAGGCGACGAUGCGUAGGGGUUCUGAGAGGAAGGUCCCCCACACUGGUACUGAGACACGGACCAGACUCCUACGGGAGGCAGCAG
This 274-nucleotide ribosomal RNA is filed under the name uncultured bacterium. RNAcentral describes it as "partial 16S ribosomal RNA". It matches the Rfam family "Bacterial small subunit ribosomal RNA", at positions 85 to 354 of the family's 1533-position model. The record is from RNAcentral.